Molecule: non-coding RNA, 86 nt
Organism: Solanum tuberosum (potato)
Lineage: Eukaryota; Viridiplantae; Streptophyta; Magnoliopsida; Solanales; Solanaceae
Source: Rfam
UUGAAGAAUUUGAAGACUUCAACUUGCAAACUUGAAGAAUUUAAAGACUUCAACUUGCAUACUUGGAGAUUUUGAAAACUUCAUCU